Molecule: long non-coding RNA, 1499 nt
Filed under: Olea europaea subsp. europaea
Lineage: Eukaryota; Viridiplantae; Streptophyta; Magnoliopsida; Lamiales; Oleaceae
Source: RNAcentral
CAAAAUUCUGAAGUACAUAAAAAUCUAAAAAAAAAAUAAAAAUUACUAGAGACCCUGUUGUGCUAUUGUAGUGGCGUUCUUACAUGCUAAAAUGAAACUCCAUAAAAAAAAUUCGCAAGAACAACAUCAUAAGCACUAAAAUGCUGAUUACUUCAUUUGCUCCAAGAUGAAAAGAACCUUAUAGCAUCUCAAUGGCUCCAGCAAGGGUUGUGUAUACAUCAACACUGAAAAUGGAAAGACUUCCAUCAGUCACUCUACAUGCAAGAAAACAAGGAUUUAUUGAGCUGAUAUUCAGUAUGUUUCUAAUCACAUAUUUAUAGUUGAUAUUCUAAAAUCUCCAUUUCAUAUACACUUACCCCUAAAAAUACAUAAGCCUCUUACAAUUUUCAAUGCUUUAUGUGAAAAGGACAAACCAAAGAAUAUCACAAAACCGAAAAAAACCUCAGAGAAUGACACUAAAUCCAGAGACACAUAAAUCUGUAGGGAUUUCUUACCCUUUGACAAAGAAUGUACAGUUGACAACACAACAAUUGAAAUUUGGAAAAUUCACAAGAAAAGAUUUCUCUACAACAUAAAAUAAAUAAGAAAUAGUCACAUGACUACAAUAAAACUUGAUGGACUGACAUAAAAUCCAAGAACAACACAUUUUCAAUAUAAUUAAAGCAUGUUUAAUAAGGUGGAUAGAUGGCUGAACUUUAUGAAGAUCGAAAACAAAGUUAAAAUUUAUCAAAUGUACUUCUAGUACUAUAGAUUAAGCAAGCACUAUGUAUUUAACAUAGUACCCAUGCAAGCAUUUCAAUAUAUUACAGCAUCGUACCUUUCGCCUAUGACAUAAUACACGUAUAAGCAUUUUGAAUGGAUAUUUGACAGUGUUGCAGAUAAAGGUAGUGUAAUUGACGACAAGAGUCCCUAUCGUUCGAAGAUGACAUGAUUAAGAAGGGUAAAAAUGUGUGUAUACUUAAUCCUUAACAUUUAAUUUAAAUAAAAUCAAUAUAACAAAUGAAAAAGAAGAAAAUAAAAUUUCGAAAGCCAUCUUUUUAUCCAAAUCAACCAGCCUAUUGCCCGAACUCCAGUGUUUCAAGUGCUUGAGCUGCAUUAUCAUCCGUCCAUAGUUCCUUUAGCAUUCCUAGCCAGAACAACCCAAAAUCAGGCAAAAUGACAAGUGGAAUACCAUCAACCUAGCUAAUCUACAGAUCUCAUUAGAAACCAUAAUCUCCUUAAAGCAUUCUGAUUCGUGUCUCUCACCCUCUUGAACAUGCAAUGCUGAAUACUAAACAUUCAAGAGCAAAAAAAUUUCAUAAGAUGUGCUCCAGAAUAUACCUGAUAUCAAUAGUCAAAACAUCAGCAUUACUUCUUGGAGUUGGAACCGCAUAAUAGGGCGAGAAAACUUGUUUAAGAAGAUAUGAGUUUCAUUUUCCUCAGUUACAAGGCCAUAAAUUUUGCCUAGAAAACGAGAGUAAAAUCCCAAGCUGAUCGCAUAUUUCACAGGUUAAACCACC